ACUCCUACGGGAGGCAGCAGUGGGGAAUAUUGCACAAUGGGCGGAAGCCUGAUGCAGCGACGCCGCGUGAGGGAUGACGGCCUUCGGGUUGUAAACCUCUUUCAGCACGGAAGAAGCGAGAGUGACGGUACGUGCAGAAGAAGCGCCGGCUAACUACGUGCCAGCAGCCGCGGUAAUACGUAGGGCGCAAGCGUUGUCCGGAAUUAUUGGGCGUAAAGAGCUCGUAGGCGGUUUGUCGCGUUCUGCUGUGAAAGCCCGGGGCUUAACCCGGCUGGUGCA
RNAcentral lists this ribosomal RNA (279 nucleotides) under uncultured bacterium. RNAcentral describes it as "partial 16S ribosomal RNA". It matches the Rfam family "Bacterial small subunit ribosomal RNA", at positions 335 to 625 of the family's 1533-position model. The record is from RNAcentral.